This 1630-nucleotide long non-coding RNA is filed under the name Macaca fascicularis (crab-eating macaque). Its description in RNAcentral is "lncRNA (ENSMFAG00000065378.1)". Lineage: Eukaryota; Metazoa; Chordata; Mammalia; Primates; Cercopithecidae. The record is from RNAcentral.
UCCUUCGGGAACAACAUCUCUAUCCCCCUGCAUUUUAGCUUCAAAGCUCACCACACAUACAAAUGGGAUACAUAGCUCUUCAAACUUUUCAAAUAAUAACCAUCACGGAGCAAUUUUUCUUCCAUGAACUCUAAAAAUGAAACCUUCAUGCUUUGUUUCUUCAGAGGUAUUAAGAUUGAGGGAUAAGAGUGUGCACUGCUUUGUUUUGGCUUUUUUUAAAGCUUGCUGGAAAAAUCACACAACUUACUUGUUUUACCUAGAAAUUUUCUGAGUUUUUAAAAAGAACAUUCUCAAUUGCAAAACCAUCUCUAUGAAGACAGCAGUGUUCAGUUUUCCCUUCCAUAAGGUGGGGAAGCCCCUCCUGUUCCUAGACCUGAUGCCCUCCAUCUGGGUGGGGCUCACCUGAGAAAGGGCGCAAGUGUCCAAACACCAAGUCCUGAGGCAAAACUGAAGCACAGGACUCAGGGGCUCCCCAGGCAGAACUUUCUAGAUGGUUCUUAAUACUCCUGGUCAAGAUGGUUAGCAUUUGACUUCUUAUCCAAUAGUAAGUAAAUGCUCAGUCAUUAGGGAGACAAUUUUCAAAAUGUAAUAUGAAUACUCUGCAGGACUCAUGUCAACAUUUAAACAGGAUGACACCGUAGAGGGGAACUUGCCUACACCUGAUCUGGUUUGGCUGUGUCCCCACCCAAAUCUCUUCUUGAAUUGUAGCUUCCAUAAUCCCCACGUGUCACAGGGGAGACCCUGUGAGAGGUAACUGAACCACGGGGGCAGACCUUUCCCAUGCUGUUCUCGUGACAGUGACUAAGUCUCACGAGCUAUGGCGGUUUUAUAAAGGGGAGUCCCUACACAAACUCUCUGGCCUGCUGCCAUGUAAGACGUGACUUUGCUGCUCAUUCACCUUCCGCCAUGAUUGUGAGGCCUCCCCAGCCAUGUGGAACGAUAAGUCAAUUAAACCUCUUUCCUUGAUAAGUUACCCUGUCUCAGGUAUGUCUUUAUUAGCAGUGUGAGAACAGACUAAUACAGCACCCCAUUUUCAGGGAAUUUCAAAUAUCCUAUCCAGAACUCUGCAGCCAGCACAGGGGCAAGAACGCAGUUCCUGACUCACUCCCAGUAUGGGGGCUUCCAACCCUGCCAGGCAAACUGUUCCUGCAAGGAAGAUGACCACCCCCUCAGAAUACUGGAAAAUGGGAAAUAGAAAAAGACAAAAAAUAGAAAUAGAUCCAAAUUAAACAGACCAUGAUGAUGAUAGUUAUGUAUUGAAUACCAUCCAUGUGUCAGGCACGGGGAUGGGGAUUUAUACACAUUAAAUAAUGGAAUCAUGUCAGGAGUGGUGGCUCACUCCUGUAAUCCCAGCACGUUGGGACACUGAGACGGGAGGAUCCCCUGAGGCCAGGAGUUCAAAACCAGCCUGGGCAACAUAGUGAGACCCCAUCUCUACAAGAAAAUAAAAACGAUCAGCCAGGCAUGGUGAUGUGUGCCUGUAGUCCCAGCUACUCAGAAGGCUGAGAUGAGAGGAUCCCUUGAGCCCAGGAGUUGGAGGCUGCAGUGAACUGCGAAGCUGUGAUUGCACCACUGCACUCUAGCCUGGGUAACAGAACAGGACCCUGUCUCAAAAAAAAAAAAAAAAAAA